GUUUACUGAGUCUCUCAGCCUACACUCAUGCUGCUUGUGGGAAGAUACACAGGCGCGCUACCACUGGUGGAGCCUAGGCUUUCUGACACAACCAGCACUGGAGCUCUUACGUAUACAAGAGUGAAACCAGACCUUCGACUCUUACCCAGUACAAAAGCCAUCCUUAAUUCAGUAAAGGCCUUCAGGUUUUCAUGAUAAUGAGACACAUCUGCUUCUGGCAGCAACAAUUUGCUUCAGAGAUCAUACACAACUGAAGAAACUGGACUGGAAUUUUCUUUCAUUGCAGCAAGAUUAGCCACUGGGCAAAGAAACUGCUCUUGCCUAUGACUGCUGGCAAUGUGUGGUGAGGCUGGACAUGGAGGGCACACAGGAAAAAAGGCUGCUGAACUUUGUCAACAUAAGGUACAACAGACCUUCAAAUUUUUUGCUUCACUGAAAAGUUUUACAUCUCUUCUGGGCCUGUAAGCCAAAGAUGGAUACCCAAACAUCACAAAGGAUCUGUGGGUGAUUUUCCAGGCAGCCAAAUGUCUCUGUUGUUAGAUGAUAUUACAUCCUUCUGUGUCUUUGAUGGAGUUAAAGGUUAGAUAGUUAUAGUUGCAGGUUUUCUUAGUUAUGAUAGAAAGUAAGUUAGGUGUCAAAUUUUGGAUUCAUUAUGAUAGGAUAGAUAAUGCAUUAUUUUCUCUGAAUAUGCUAAGUACAAAUGGACAGCAUAUUGUAAACAUAAUUCUUACUUUAUAAUUGUUUUGGUUGUAUGUAGUUUUAAUAGGUUAAAGUUAAAAUCUUUCAUUUCUGUUUAGACAAAGAGGGGAAAUGCUAUAAUAUCAUUUUAAGAUGUGUUACAUUUGGUUAUUCUAUGGAAAAUUUGCUUUGAAGAUGAAAAAAUGUGUUGCAUUUAUUUAACACUGUGUUCACAGCAACCUUUCAGGAGGGAGUGGUCUGCCAUACCAUAUUGGAAUAGAAGCAAUCCACAGGGUCUCAUCCUCUGUAAAAACAAAAGAAGAAUCUCUUUUCCAAAGUAGCAUAUCCUUAGAUCCAAAUUCUGAAGUCAAGGUAUUUUCAAAAUAUCUAUGUUGGAUUAGUUCAGCAGCAUUUAUAAACAAAUAUCUUUUAGCAGCUGUUGCUCCUUCCUCAGCAUUCAAACAAUUCAAAGAGAGCAUAAUAGCAUACAGUCAGGCAGGAGAAAGGAUAAGAGGGGCUGGCAGGCAGAGAGAAUAUAUAGAAGAAGAAAUCUGGGAGGAAAAGAAGGAGCCAGAGAACAAGGAGAGGAGGACUCUAGCAGCCAGCCACACAGCCACACAAUCAGUCACCAAGGAGUAAGAGUAAAAGUAAGAUAUAUAGAAGAAAAGAAAAAAGUACAAAGCCAAAAUGGGCAAGACUACACCAAGCUAAGGCCAACCAUUUAUAAUUAAGAAUAAGCCUCCACAUAUGUUAUAUAUUUGGGAACUUGGUGGUGAGCUCCCUAAAAGAACAAAAGUAAGUUUAUGGAUUAUUAUGAACAGGACUGCAAAACUGGACAAACAUAGAUACAUUUAACUUUAAAAUGGAAGUCAAAAAUAUAUUUGUCAUAUGAAAAUAAAAAGUGCUUUGGAGAAGAGUUUUUGCUUUUGUUCCCACAAAAGAUGACAAGCUAUAGAUUCCUUCAGGAAUGAGAUGGAUCAGGUUUGAUCAGGUGAGGCCUGAAUCUUGUCUUCCCUGGAAUUGGACAUAAUCUCAAAUUGUUUCUCUCUGACUCCAAAGAUGCUUUCACCCACAGACUGUGGAGCAAUUUGGAGAACAUGAUGCCCAAACUCCCAAGAGUGGUGUGGGAGGCUUAUGGAUAUUUGGUGGGUUAUAGGGGUGUGUGUGUGUGUGUGUGUGUGUGUGUGUGUGUUAUCAUUUAGGGGUAUAUAGGAACAUAGGUUUAAAAAAACAACUUUACACUCAAAUAUUUUGCAUAGGCAUAAAUUUUGGUAUACCAAUAAAAAUUUAAAGUUCAUUUUUGUUUCACUGUACAUAUGUUUCUACUCUUUAUUGGAGAAUUGAGCUUGUGCAGCUCGUUUAAAUGCAAUGUAUAAUUAAGAAAUUGGGUUAGUAGUUAAUCUAUGAUAAUCAAACUUGUAGUAACAUUAGAUAUUUUCCAAGAUUGAAUAUCUAUUAGAUAGAUAAAUGGUCUUCAAACACUUCAAAAACCUAUAGAAUAUGGCAUUUAAAAUGUUUUGUUAAUAUAAGGUUUCUCAUGAUAAUGAAACACAUCUGCUCCUGGCAGUACCAAUUUACUUAAUAAAAUAAUGAUUGGUAUCAAAGAAACUCCACUGGAGUUUGCUUUCAUUGUUGCAAGACUAACCAAUUGGACAAGAAACUGCUUUUGCCUUGACUGCUUCAGUGUGCUGUGCAAACUGAACAUGCAGGACCCACAGAAAAAUGAAUUCUGAACUUUGCUAAAACAAGGUAGGACAAUCCUUCAUGAUUCUUGCUUCAAAAAAGUCUGUGAGAAAUUCUUUAGGACACAAAGGAAAAUACUCAUGAACUUUGCAAAUACAAGGCAGGGUAGUACUUCAAAUUUUCUGCUCCAUUGAAAAGUCUGCCAGAUGCUCUAGGCCUGUCAGACAAAAUGGAUUCCCCAAUGUUUCAGGGGAACUUUGGGUGACUGUCCAGGCAGAUGUCUCUGUUGUUAGGUAAUAUUAAUUUUUCCUGGGGUCUUGAAUGGAGUUAAAGAAUAAAUAGAGUUUAGUUUUCUGUAGCUAUGGUAGAAAAUAAAUUAGCUAUUAAUCUUUGGGAUCACUAAGAUGAGAUGAAUAAUAGAGUGUUUUCUCUGAAUUUGCUAAAUACAAAUGAACUGAAUGUUGUAAAUGUAAUUCUUCCUUGAUAAUUGUCUUGUACAAAUAUUUACUAUGUUAAAGUUAAAACAUUUUGUUAUUAGACAACAGGGGUGAAAUAUUGUGGAAUAUUAUUUUAAGAUGUGUUAUUGAUACAAGCUGUAACAUUAUACAGUAAUUGUUUAGCCAUUUUUUCACAAGUGACUUAUCAUAACCAAGGGAUCUGAUAAAGGUUAAAGCAAAAAGAAAGCUUUUUUGGCAUUGUUGCUUUGUGAAUAAAGUGGGUGAACUUUGUUGGUCCCAUUCUGUUACAUAUUUGGGAAUUACUUCCCAUAGUUCAGAACUGUUUCUUAAAAAUAGUUUCCCACUACCAGUCUUCCUUUCCUCUCCCCUAGGUAUACACAGGUAUGCCUUCUUGUAAUUAUCUUUAUCAGUAGGCAUUCAGUCAGUACACAGGCAAAGAGCAUCCACUUAAGAUAACCAAAGAGCUCCAAGGACAUAGAAUUACUAUCUGUUAAAGCUGCUGCUCUAGCUUUACUGCAGGACCAGAAUAACUGAUAACAGCAUACCCCAGAACUGAUAAUUUAGAAGACUGGGUCCCCUAUGUUUCUUUCUACUGUCUAGAGUAAAACUCCAGACCUAGGCCCAUAGAAACUUCAGUGUCUGGUAUAUGUGCUAUUUGAUCAAGAGCCAUCAGCUUCCUCCUGACUGUUUAUGUAGUUUGCCUGGUUACUUGGUAGCCGCUAUACAUACUGGAAGAAAAGAAGCUGCGCUCUGAUUCAAAAUAUAAUCUAUGCUCUAUUCAUAAUUUUACUGAACAGGCUGAGACUGCACAGAGUGGACCAAGAGGUAAAUGAUUACCCACCCAGAAGAGCACCCCACUCUCUAGGCCCUCAGUAAUGGGGCAAAACCCUGCGACCCACCCCCACUUGCCACACUUCUCUAGUCAGCCAGCAGGACAGCUUUCUGCAGGUAGGCUGUUCCAAAACCCCCACCCCAUCAACUGGACCCUGUAAGCUACAAGUCCCACUCCAGGAUCAAACCCACCUAUACUGUGCUACCUCAGAGGAACUCUGAAGAACAGACUAGAACUGUACAGAGGAGACCACGAGGUGAGUGUACAGAGAACUGUACAGAGGAAUCCCCUUGCAGCUGGACGACCCACUCUCUAGGCUCUCUGUGACAGGGCAAAACCCUGGGCCCCUCCCCCAUCUGCCACAGCUUGUCUAGCCAGAUAGCAGGCAAGUUUCUUCCAGGUAGGCUGCUGCAACAACCCCACCCCAUCGAUCAGACCCUGUAAGCUACAAGUUCCAGUCUGCCCCCAAAACUGCCAAUACAACCAUCACCAUCCACUUCUCCAUCCAUCACCCCUGCAAAUCACAGAGCAAACCAAGAGAGCGGACCAAGGACAUCAGUAAUAACCAUUCAAAAGAUUAAAUAUUCCAGUUAAGGAACUAGCCCACUAUUUCUUAAUUCUGAUUUACUAAAUCUCCAGAAUAAGAAAGGCCAAAAUAUCACACAAAUGACUUCUAGCUUUAACUUUUAUGGUCUGUCUUUUUCCAUCUGAAAUGCUAUGAUCUCAAUCUCUACUUUCUGCCAUUUCUUUUAACAUUCCCAUCUUCCUGGUCCUACAAGGAUAGCAAAUUAAAUUCUGUAUACAACUUUCUAUGUUUUUUUGCCACAUAAAGUCAUUUCAUACACAUUCUUCUAAAAAGACAACAUUUCCAGGUUCUACCUAGCAACAAAAUUACAUUUUGCGUUCAAUUUUUUGUUCUAACUUGCUUUUUUUUUUUAAUUUUCAUUUUUCGAGACAAGGUUUUUCUGUAGCUUUGAAGCCUGUCCUGGAACUAGCUCUUAUAGACCAGACUGGUCUCAAACUCACAGAGAUUCGCCUGACUCCGCCUUACAAGUGCUAGGAUUAAAGACAUGUGCUGUAAGACUUUAACUUGUAUUUAUGCUGCUGGUCAAAAAUGCAAGUUAGAGGCAGGUGAUCUCUGGAGUUCAAGAUCAGUAGAGUGAGUUGGAUGACUAUAAGGGCUACAAAGAGAAACCCUGUCAUGAAAGAAAAAAAGUAUUUUCAUAAGUAGCAAAUCAUGCAGCAAUAAUCAAUGAUAAUGUUUGUUAAAUGCAAGGCAGGUCUUGGAGGUUACAGAUUCAGACCAUCACUGUUUUAGAGUUACUAAUGUUAUAAUGAAGCACCAUGACCAAAAAAGUAAUGUGUGGAAAAACAAGUUCAUUUCACUCAGUUUCAUCAUCAAAAUAAGUGAGGACAGAAACACAAGCAAGGUAGGAACCUAAAAGUAGGCACUGAAGCAGGGGCCUUAGAGGGGUCCUGCUUACUGACUUGCACUCUAUGGCUUGCUCAGCCAGCUUUCUUAUAGAACCCAGGAAAGCCAUUUUGGGAUUGGCCUCAUCAACAAUGGGCUGGUCACUAGCCCACUAAUCACUGUUUAAGAAAAUGCCAUUUAUUUUGACUGCAGCCCAAUAUCAUGGAAACAUUUUCUCUGUUGAGACUUCUUUCUCUCAAAUUUUCCUAGAUUAUGUUCAAUUGACAUAAAACUUGCCAGUACAACCACAGAAGUAAAUACCUUGAAGCAAGACAUGUGAGUUUUGUUGUUAUUGUUCUUGUUGUUUCCCAAUGCAUACAAAAUUGUUUCUAUGCUUUCCGUACAACAUGAUAGCAUUGUUUCCAAAUACUGUAUGAUCCCUAACUUAGAAAUGUGCUGCAGAUCCAGAAAAAUGGGGAAAACCACUGGGCCCCGAGCCUGAAGUUCCUAGCUCCAUCCAUAGAAACCACAUGGCGGAAGAGCAGAAACAAAUCCUGCGAGUUUUCCUUUGACUUCCACACGCAUAUUGCCUUAGCACAAGCGCACAUUCACAUGUAAAGAAUAAAUAUUAGAUUAGUUUAAAGAAAAAUAUGCUUCAGCUAAGAACUAUUGAUGAUGACAGGUGUGGGAAGUCAUGCCUGUAACUGCAACACUUGGGAGCCUGAGACAAUCUAGACUACAUAGUGAGUUCCCAGACAAUCUGGGAUAAAGAGCAAGACAGUGCCUCAAGAAAAAUAAGCUGGGUACAUCUGGGUGUUACACAUAUGUUCAUUUCGAAGUCAGGAUGCCGAGGCAACAGAAGACUAAGAUUGAGGUCAGUAUACAAUAUACAAUACAAGAAAAACUUGCCCCAAAUGGACAAUCACUACAUUCAGCAUAGUGUUUCCUUUUUGCUGGAGGCAUAAUUGAUUUUGGUUUCCACACAUGCUGUCUUAUGCAGGGGCUGCAUACAGGCUAAAGACUGGGUACAUGUGGCAACUUCCUCAAAGAGCUCAAAAGAUUAGUUUCCUAUUUUCACUACAAACACACACACACACACACACACACACACACACACACACACACGCCCACACACCCCAGUAUGCUGUGCUGCUUGAUAGCAUUUUACCCGCAGUAAAAUUUUCUUCAAAAUCAAGGGCUAAGAAUAUAGUACAUUUCAGUAGCAAUUUGAAGUCCUAAAUUUCAUGUCACAGGACUGUCACAAAUGGGGAAAGGGACAUCACUGACCUUUCAAGCUACCUGACUCUUACCAUGGGAGCCCCGAUGGAAAAUCACUAGCAAGAUAUUGGUAGUUUGAUAUAAAAUGUUCCAACCUUGUCAGGCAGUGGUGGCACAUGACUUUAAUCCCAGAAAUUGGAAGACAGAAGAAGUGGAUCUCUGUGAGUUCAAGCCCAACCUUGUCUAUAGGAAAGGCUUCAUAGCUACAGAGAAACUGUCUUAAAAAACCAAAACCAAAAAAAACAAACAAAAUAAAUAAAUGCCCCAGCCUUCAGAACAGUAGGUAGGCAUAUUUAUAUUUCUUGUAAGUUAGCCAGCUUUGGAUAUUAUAAAAAUAACAAACUGAUAUAGGUCUUAUCAUCUAUAUUCUAACCAAUAUAAGUACCUGGGGAGGAUUCAGUGAAAAUACUUUUUUUGCCUGCUUGAAAUACAGUUGCUGUUUACUCAUGGAGGACACUAGAUAUCUCCUUGUUUUAGCAAUUAUAAAUAGAUCUGCCAUGAUCAUCCCUGUGGGGGAGGGAAAGGGAGAACUAGAGUGACAGGAGGCUACACCCCAAGCUGCAGAACAAAGAGACAAACCUUGGAAUCAUAGUGGACCUGAAAGUCAGGUAAAGGACCAGAAAAAAAAAUAGGUGCUCAUCAUUUGAUAAAAAUUCAACAGCCAUUCAUGACAAAAGUCUUGGAGAAAGCAGGGAUAGAAGAAACUUAUCUAAACACACACACCAAAAGGCAAUACAGAGCAAGCCAACAGCCAACAUCAAACUAAAUGGAGAGAAACCCAAAUCGAUCCCACUAAAGUCAGGAACAAGACAAGGUUGUCCACUAUCUCCAUAUCUAUUCAGUAUAGUACUUGAAUAGAUAUAGUACACCUAGUUACAGUAAUAAGGCAACAAAAGGAGAUCAAGGGGAUAUAAAUUGGAAAAUAAGUCAAAUUCUCACUAUUUGCUGAUGAUAUGAUGGUAUACAUAAGAGACGCCAAGAACUCUACCAAGGGAGCUCCUACAAUUCAUGAACACAUUCAGUAAUUUAGCAGGAUACAAGAUUAAGUCGAAAAAUCAGUAGACCUCCUUUAAAGAGAUGAUAAACAGGUUGAGAAAAAAAUCAGAGAAACAUCACCCUUCACAAUAGCCACAAAUAAUAUAAAAUAUCUUGGGGUAACUACAACCAAACAAGUAAAAAAAAGGUGUAUGACAAGAACUUUAAAACUUUGAACAAAAAAAUGAAGAAAAAAACGGAAAAUGGAAAGAUCUCCCAUACUCCUUAGGUAGGUUGAAUUUACAUAGCAAAAAUGGAAGUCUAUAGAUUCAAUGCAAUGCCCAUCAAAAUCCCAGCAAAAUUCUUCACAGAGCUUGAAAGAACAAUACUAACUUAAAAUGGUAAAACAAAAAACCCAGGAUAGUCAAAAUAAUCUUGUACAAUAAAGAAACUAGUGGAGGCAUCACCAUCCCUACCCACAAACUCUACUAUAGAGCUACAGUAAUGAAAACUGCCUGGUAGGCCGGGCGGUGGUGGCACACGCCUUUAAUCCCAGCACUCGGGAGGCAGAGGCAGGCGGAUCUCUGUGAGUUCGAGACCAGCCUGGUCUACAGAGCUAGUUCCAGGACAUGCUCCAAAGCCACAGAGAAACCCUGUCUUGAAAAACCAAAAAAAAAAAAAAAAGAAAAAAAGAAAAAGAAAACUGCCUGGUGUUGGCAUAAAACCAUACAGGAGGACCUAUGGAAUUAAAUAAAAUAACCGAAUAUCAAUCCAGACACCUACGAACACCCGAUUUUUGACAAAGAAGCUAUAAUUAUAAAAUGGAAAAAAGCAUAUGCAACAAAUGGUACUGGAAUAACUGGAUGCCAACAUGUAGAAGAAUGCAAAUAGAUCCAUAUAUAUCACCAUGCACAAAAUUCAGGUCCACAUGGAUCAAAUCUGUGACUACAUCAAGAAUUUAUACUGGAUUCUCUGUGAGCUCCGUAGAACUCUGUCAUACAUUCUGCGCCAAUACUUGGGGGACAUAAGAGGUAAGUAAGCAGCAACUCUGUGACCCAGACACCCCACUCCCUAAGAACUCCAGGGGGGGAGGGGAGAAAAGCCAGGGGGGCCUUCCCAGGUUCCUCGACAUUUCUAGCCACCAGCAGGGAGCUUGCCUGCUAGUCCUCAAUCCAGGAUAUUAAUCCACACACCUAUGAA
This is a long non-coding RNA of Alexandromys fortis (reed vole), 8515 nucleotides long. RefSeq lists it as uncharacterized. The transcript is spliced from 3 exons. NCBI's taxonomy places the organism in Eukaryota, Metazoa, Chordata, Mammalia, Rodentia, Cricetidae. The record is from RefSeq and is a predicted model, not a curated record.